This 389-nucleotide ribosomal RNA is filed under the name uncultured Glomerales. Its description in RNAcentral is "eukaryotic LSU rRNA". The stretch from base 1 to 82 matches the Rfam family "5.8S ribosomal RNA", at positions 73 to 154 of the family's 154-position model. Lineage: Eukaryota; Fungi; Glomeromycota; Glomeromycetes; Glomerales; Glomeraceae. The record is from RNAcentral.
AGUACGCUAUGUGAAUCAUCGAAUCUUUGAACGCACCUUGCACUUGCGGAGUCUAUCCGCAAGUAUACCUGUUUGAGUAUCAUAAACACAUCUCCACCUAUGUGGGAAUUGAGGUUCAUUUGCUAUAUGCAGGUGUUCCUUCAAAUGCAGUGAGGGACAGAGUAAUUUUUAAUAUUUUGCUCGAGUGAGGAUAUUUGCAUUCGUGCAAAAUAAUCACGAGUGGGCGACUUAAGAAAAACUAUUCGACAUUGUUCUUUUUGGUGGUUGAUGAGGUGGGGAGGUAACUUACUAGUAAGCUACUAACCUGCUAACAUAUAUAACCCAGUACAAAUGUGAUCUCAAAUCAGGCAAGAGUACCCGCCGAACUUAAGCAUAUCAAUAAGCGGAGG